This 76-nucleotide transfer RNA is filed under the name compost metagenome. Its description in RNAcentral is "tRNA-Ala". It matches the Rfam family "tRNA". From Rfam's summary of the family: Transfer RNA (tRNA) molecules are approximately 80 nucleotides in length. Their secondary structure includes four short double-helical elements and three loops (D, anti-codon, and T loops). The record is from RNAcentral.
GGGGCUAUAGCUCAGUUGGGAGAGCGCGUGCAUGGCAUGCACGAGGUCCCCGGUUCGAACCCGGGUAGCUCCACCA